CAGGCCGGUGGCUUACGAGCGACAGAGAAGGAGCUUGCUCCUUUGACGUUAGCGGCGGACGGGUGAGUAAACGUGGGCAACCUACCUUAUAGUUUGGGAUAACUCCGGGAAACCGGGGCUAAUACCGAAUAAUCUGUUUCACCUCUGCAUUACUAAUCAACCACGGUUUCGGCUAGUCGCUAUCAAUGCGCCCGCGGGGGCAUAGCUAGUUGUGAGGUAAUUUCGGCUCACCAGAGUGCGCACGAUACGUAGCCGACUCUGAGAGGGUGCGCCACAGGGACUGAGACACGCCCAGACUCCUCGGGGGCAGAGAGGGAAUCUUCCACAAUGGGACGAAAGCCUCAUCGGAGCAACGCCGCGUGACGUGCAAGAAGGAUUUCGGUUCGUAAAACUCUGUUGUAAGGGAAGAACAAGUACAGUAGUAACCCUGGGUGCACACUUGACGGUCCUUAUUAGAAGGCCGGCUACUACGUGCCAGCAGCCGCGGUAAUACGUAGGUGGCAAACGUUGUCCGGAAUUAUUAGGGCGUAAAGCGCGCGCAGGUGGUUUCUUAAGUCUGAUGUGAAAGCCCAGGGCUCAACCGUGGAGGGUCAUUGGAAACUGGGAGACAUGAGUGCAGAAGAGGAUAGUGGAAUUCCCAGUGUAGCGGUGAAAUGCGUAGAGAUUUGAGGACGCAGUGGCGAAGGCGACGAACUGGUCUGUAACUGACACUGAGGCGCGAAAGCGAUGGGGAGCCAACAGGAUUAGAUACCCUGGUAGUUCCCGCCGUUACACGAUGAGUGCUAAGUGUUAGGGGGUUUUCGCCCCUUAGUGCUGCAGGUAACGCCUUAAGCCCUUCCCCUGGGGAGUUCGGUUGCAAGGCUGAAACUCCAAAGGAAUUGACGGGGGBCCGCCCCAGCGGUGGAGCCUGUGGUUUAAUUUGAAGAACGCGAAGAACCUUUCCCGGUCUUGACGUUCCGAUUGCACCCCUGUAGAGAUAUGGUUUUCUCUUUGGGGCAACGGUGACAGGUGGUGCAUGGUUGUAUGUCUAGCUCGUGUCGUGAGAUGUUGGGUUAAGUUCCGCAACGAGCGCAACCCUUGAUUUUAGUUGCCAUCCAUUUAGUUGGGCCCUUUAAGGUGACUGCCGGUGACAAACCGGAGGAAGGUGGGGAUGACGUCAAAUCAUCAUGCCCCUUAUGACCUGGGCUACACACGUGGUACAAUGGGCGAUACAAACGGUUGCCAACUCGCGAGAGGGAGGUAAUCCGAUAAAGUCGUUUUCAGUUCGGAUUGUAGGCUGCAACUUGCCUACAUGAAGCCGGAAUCGCUAGUAAUGC
Molecule: ribosomal RNA, 1316 nt
Filed under: Lysinibacillus sphaericus
Lineage: Bacteria; Bacillati; Bacillota; Bacilli; Caryophanales; Bacillaceae
Description: bacterial SSU rRNA
Rfam family: Bacterial small subunit ribosomal RNA
Source: RNAcentral